RNAcentral lists this transfer RNA (77 nucleotides) under Dechloromonas denitrificans. RNAcentral's name for it is "tRNA-Arg". It matches the Rfam family "tRNA". From Rfam's summary of the family: Transfer RNA (tRNA) molecules are approximately 80 nucleotides in length. Their secondary structure includes four short double-helical elements and three loops (D, anti-codon, and T loops). Lineage: Bacteria; Pseudomonadati; Pseudomonadota; Betaproteobacteria; Rhodocyclales; Azonexaceae. RNAcentral also lists the same sequence under 1 other name. The record is from RNAcentral.
GCGCCCGUAGCUCAGCUGGAUAGAGUAUUGCCCUCCGAAGGCAGUGGUCGGACGUUCGAAUCGUCUCGGGCGCGCCA